GCCCAGUGACUUUCUUAAACGGCCGCGGUAUCCUAACCGUGCAAAGGUAGCAUAAUCACUUGUCCCCUAAAUAGGGACUAGUAUGAACGGUCAAAUGAGGACUUAACUGUCUCUUACAUUUAACCAAUAAAACUGAUCUCUCAGUUAAAAAGCUGGGAUACAAACAUAAGACGAGAAGACCCUGUGGAGCUUCAAACCAUAACCCAACCCUAAUGAAGUAAGGUUUUUAGUUGGGGCGACUUCGGAGUACAAAAAAACCUCCGACACAAACUUUAUUAAGACCAACACGUCAACAUAUUUUCUUCCUGACCCGGUAUUUAUUAAAAUAUCCGAUUAAUGAACCAAGUUACCCCAGGGAUAACAGCGCCAUCCCCUUCUAGAGUCCUUAUCGACAAGGGGGUUUACGACCUCGAUGUUGGAUCAGGACACCCAAAUAGUGCAGCCGCUAUUAAAGGUUCGUUUGUUCAACGAUUAAUAGUCCUACGUGAUCUGAGUUUCAG
RNAcentral lists this ribosomal RNA (500 nucleotides) under Pedioplanis undata. RNAcentral's name for it is "partial 16S ribosomal RNA". It matches the Rfam family "Bacterial large subunit ribosomal RNA", at positions 1861 to 2615 of the family's 2925-position model. Lineage: Eukaryota; Metazoa; Chordata; Lepidosauria; Squamata; Lacertidae. The record is from RNAcentral.